AGCGUAGGCGGACCUUUAAGUGAGAUGUGAAAUACCCGAGCUCAACUUGGGUGCUGCAUUUCAAACUGGAGGUCUAGAGUGUCGGAGAGGUAAGCGGAAUUCCUAGUGUAGCGGUGAAAUGCGUAGAGAUUAGGAAGAACCCCGGUGGCGAAGGCGGCUUACUGGACGAUAACUGACGCUGAGGCUCGAAAGCGUGGGGAGCAAACA
This 207-nucleotide ribosomal RNA is filed under the name uncultured bacterium. Its description in RNAcentral is "partial 16S ribosomal RNA". It matches the Rfam family "Bacterial small subunit ribosomal RNA", at positions 568 to 774 of the family's 1533-position model. The record is from RNAcentral.